CGCCUCUGGGGCUGCCGCCAUGUCUCUAGUAAUCCCUGAGAAGUUCCAGCACAUCUGGCAAGUACUCAACACCAACAUCGAUGGGCGGCGGAAAAUUGCUUUUGCCAUCACUGCAAUUAAGGGUGUGGGGCAAAGAUAUGCUCAUGUGGUGUUGAGGAAGGCAGACAUCGACCUCACCAAGAGGGCAGGAGAGCUCACCGAGGAUGAGGUGGAACGUGUGAUCACCAUUAUACAGAAUCCACGCCAAUACACGAUCCCAUGUGAAGGACGGAAAAUACAGCCAGGUCCUGGCCAACGGUCUAGACAGCAAACUCCGUGAAGACCUGGAGCGACUGAAGAAGAUUCGGGCCCACGGGGCUGCGCCACUUCUGGGGACUUCGCGUCAGAGGCCAGCACACCAAGACCAUAGGCCGCCGUGGUCGCACUGUGGGUGUGUCCAAGAAGAAACAAUGUGUGGGCAUUGUGUUAAUAAAUAGAUUAUGCAGUUAA
Non-coding RNA from Odocoileus virginianus texanus, 489 nucleotides. NCBI's taxonomy places the organism in Eukaryota, Metazoa, Chordata, Mammalia, Artiodactyla, Cervidae. The record is from RefSeq and is a predicted model, not a curated record.